GAUGAACGCUGGCGGCGUGCCUAAUACAUGCAAGUCGAGCGAAUGAUGAGGAGCUUGCUCCUCUGAUUUAGCGGCGGACGGGUGAGUAACACGUGGGUAAUCUGCCUGUAAGACGGGGAUAACUCCGGGAAACCGGGGCUAAUACCGGAUAAUAAGAGAAGAAGCAUUUCUUCUUUUUGAAAGUCGGUUUCGGCUGACACUUACAGAUGAGCCCGCGGCGCAUUAGCUAGUUGGUGAGGUAACGGCUCACCAAGGCGACGAUGCGUAGCCGACCUGAGAGGGUGAUCGGCCACACUGGGACUGAGACACGGCCCAGACUCCUACGGGAGGCAGCAGUAGGGAAUCUUCGGCAAUGGGCGAAAGCCUGACCGAGCAACGCCGCGUGAGCGAUGAAGGCCUUCGGGUCGUAAAGCUCUGUUGUUAGAGAAGAACAAGUACGAGAGUAACUGCUCGUACCUUGACGGUACCUAACCAGAAAGCCACGGCUAACUACGUGCCAGCAGCCGCGGUAAUACGUAGGUGGCAAGCGUUAUCCGGAAUUAUUGGGCGUAAAGCGCGCGCAGGCGGUCUCUUAAGUCUGAUGUGAAAGCCCACGGCUCAACCGUGGAGGGUCAUUGGAAACUGGGAGACUUGAGUGCAGGAGAGAAAAGUGGAAUUCCACGUGUAGCGGUGAAAUGCGUAGAGAUGUGGAGGAACACCAGUGGCGAAGGCGGCUUUUUGGCCUGUAACUGACGCUGAGGCGCGAAAGCGUGGGGAGCAAACAGGAUUAGAUACCCUGGUAGUCCACGCCGUAAACGAUGAGUGCUAGGUGUUGGGGGGUUCCACCCUCAGUGCUGAAGUUAACACAUUAAGCACUCCGCCUGGGGAGUACGACCGCAAGGUUGAAACUCAAAGGAAUUGACGGGGGCCCGCACAAGCAGUGGAGCAUGUGGUUUAAUUCGAAGCAACGCGAAGAACCUUACCAGGUCUUGACAUCCUUUGACCACUCUAGAGAUAGAGCUUUCCCCUUCGGGGGACAAAGUGACAGGUGGUGCAUGGUUGUCGUCAGCUCGUGUCGUGAGAUGUUGGGUUAAGUCCCGCAACGAGCGCAACCCUUGACCUUAGUUGCCAGCAUUCAGUUGGGCACUCUAA
Molecule: ribosomal RNA, 1131 nt
Filed under: Fictibacillus sp.
Lineage: Bacteria; Bacillati; Bacillota; Bacilli; Caryophanales; Fictibacillaceae
Description: bacterial SSU rRNA
Rfam family: Bacterial small subunit ribosomal RNA
Source: RNAcentral